CAGAUUACAUUAGGUUGCUGCAUCAGGGCUGGAGACACUUGAACGGAGACAAACACACAGGCACGCACGCAUGCAUGCACAUGCAAGGGAUGUGACAAAUGGACAAUUUUGCUAAACAUUUAAACAUCAUAACAUUCAGAAAAAAAACAUAAAAUUCCACAUCAAUUCACAAUUCAGAAUAAUGGUCCUAUUACGCAUGACCGCUAGGGCCGGGCAAUGAAGUUAUAUCUACCGCAGUCAUAUACCCUUGAAAGCGUCUCGGCUACGGAAUGUUUGUUGGUCUGUAAGGGUACACUAUAGCUUUUCAAACGCCGACACAAAACCUUCUCUGGAGAUAGUUUCGAAGCGCCACUGAAUGGGCAUUUUACUUGUCUGUAUAGGAAUGCCCCAUCUGAACCGGGAUCGACGUCCAUCACUAGCAGGUGGUCUACAGCAGGGAGCCUGCAUAGGAGUGGAGAGAAGAGGAGAAGAGAGGACAGAAGAGGAGAGAUGAGAUGAAAGGGGAGAGGACAUAGUUUGAAGAGGAGAGGAGAGGAGAGGUGAUGAAAGAGGAGACGGUGGUUUGAACAUGAUUUUGGACAAUGACCCAACACACCUCCAGGCUGUGUAAGGGCUAUUUGACCAAGAAGGAGAGUGAUGGAGUGCUGCAUCAGAUGACCUGGCCUCCACAAUCACCCUACCCCAACC
This 687-nucleotide long non-coding RNA is filed under the name Salmo salar (Atlantic salmon). RNAcentral's name for it is "lncRNA (ENSSSAG00000103071.1)". Lineage: Eukaryota; Metazoa; Chordata; Actinopteri; Salmoniformes; Salmonidae. The record is from RNAcentral.